Molecule: ribosomal RNA, 329 nt
Filed under: Wanniyala sp. SL17
Lineage: Eukaryota; Metazoa; Arthropoda; Arachnida; Araneae; Pholcidae
Description: partial 12S ribosomal RNA
Source: RNAcentral
UUUUUAAAACCCUAGGUAGUAUAUUUAAUAAAAACCCCUGUCUUAUGGUAGUCUUUAUAUUUUAGAGAAACUUGCUUUAUAAUCGAUAAUUCACGGUAAUUUUCACUUAAUUUAUACAAUUUAUAUACCGCCAUUAAUAAACCUUAUUAAAAAAUUAAAGUUUAAUAUUUUUCUUCAACCAAAAAUUAGGUCAAGGUGUAAUUCAUAAUAAAGAAAAAGUUAGUUACAUUAAAAAAAAUUUAAGGAAUCUAAUUAAAAUAAUAAAACGAAAAAGAAUUUAAAUGUACAUUAAAAUUAAAAUUUUUAGUAGAAUUUAAUUAUAAAGAUGC